CAGAAAGUCUGUGUGUGGUAAUUAACAUGGCAAGAGCUGUGAAGACGUAGUCAAUGGAAUCUAGGAGCGUUCUCUGCUGUUUCAUACGUACUCGUGUGAUUCACAUGUGUAUGUUUCAGAAAAAAACGAUCAGCUGAGCGACAGAUGAUGACUAAAUAUUGAUUCCAGAAACACUGCGCACAAAGAAGCAUGGAUAGUGGCCUUAGAUACACAUUGAAUCAUCUUGAACUCAUUGUUAGAACACUGAUAACAUAGCACAAUACUAUAG
Long non-coding RNA from Lingula anatina, 268 nucleotides. NCBI's taxonomy places the organism in Eukaryota, Metazoa, Brachiopoda, Lingulata, Lingulida, Lingulidae. The record is from RefSeq and is a predicted model, not a curated record.